ACAUGCAGAGAACUUUCCAGAGAUGGAUUGGUGCCUUCGGGAACUCUGACACAGGUGCUGCAUGGCUGUCGUCAGCUCGUGUCGUGAGAUGUUGGGUUAAGUCCGUAACGAGCGCAACCCUUGUCCUUAGUUACCAGCACGUUAUGGUGGGCACUCUAAGGAGACUGCCGGUGACAAACCGGAGGAAGGUGGGGAUGACGUCAAGUCAUCGUGGCCCUUACGGCCUGGGCUACACACGUGCUACAAUGGUCGGUACAAAGGGUUGCCAAGCCGCGAGGUGGAGCUAAUCCCAUAAAACCGAUCGUAGUCCGGAUCGCAGUCUGCAACUCGACUGCGUGAAGUCGGAAUCGCUAGUAAUCGUGAAUCAGAAUGUCACGGUGAAUACGUUCCCGGGCCUU
RNAcentral lists this ribosomal RNA (398 nucleotides) under uncultured Pseudomonas sp. RNAcentral describes it as "bacterial SSU rRNA". It matches the Rfam family "Bacterial small subunit ribosomal RNA", at positions 984 to 1382 of the family's 1533-position model. The record is from RNAcentral. Lineage: Bacteria; Pseudomonadati; Pseudomonadota; Gammaproteobacteria; Pseudomonadales; Pseudomonadaceae.